RNAcentral lists this ribosomal RNA (506 nucleotides) under uncultured bacterium. Its description in RNAcentral is "partial 16S ribosomal RNA". It matches the Rfam family "Bacterial small subunit ribosomal RNA", at positions 29 to 523 of the family's 1533-position model. The record is from RNAcentral.
AGCGAACGCUGGCGGCAGGCCUAACACAUGCAAGUCGAACGGCAGCACAGGAGAGCUUGCUCUCUGGGUGGCGAGUGGCGGACGGGUGAGGAAUACAUCGGAAUCUACCUUUUCGUGGGGGAUAACGUAGGGAAACUUACGCUAAUACCGCAUACGACCUACGGGUGAAAGUGGGGGACCGCAAGGCCUCACGCGAUUAGAUGAGCCGAUGUCCGAUUAGCUAGUUGGCGGGGUAAUGGCCCACCAAGGCGACGGUCGGUAGCUGGUCUGAGAGGAUGAUCAGCCACACUGGAAAUGAGACACGGUCCAGACUCCUACGGGAGGCAGCAGUGGGGAAUAUUGGACAAUGGGCGCAAGCCUGAUCCAGCCAUACCGCGUGGGUGAAGAAGGCCUUCGGGUUGUAAAGCCCUUUUGUUGGGAAAGAAAUCCUGUCGAUUAAUACUCGGUGGGGAUGACGGUACCCAAAGAAUAAGCACCGGCUAACUUCGUGCCAGCCGCCGCAGUAA